UCAGGAUGAACGCUGGCGGCGUGCUUAACACAUGCAAGUCGAACGGAGUUUUUAAACGGAAGUUUUCGGAUGGAAGUUUAAAAACUUAGUGGCGGACGGGUGAGUAACGCGUGGGUAACCUGCCUCAUACAGGGGGAUAACAGUUAGAAAUGACUGCUAACACCGCAUAAUAUAGCGAAACCGCAUGAUUUUUGCUAUCAAAUAUUUAUAGGUAUGAGAUGGGCCCGCGUCUGAUUAGCUAGUUGGUGGGGUAAAAGCCUACCAAGGCGACGAUCAGUAGCCGGCUUGAGAGAGUGAUCGGCCACAUUGGGACUGAGACACGGCCCAAACUCCUACGGGAGGCAGCAGUGGGGAAUAUUGGACAAUGGGGGAAACCCUGAUCCAGCGAACCGCCGCGUGAGUGAAGAAGUAUUUCGGUAUGUAAAGCUCUAUCAGCAGGGAAGAUAAUGACAGUACCUGACUAAGAAGCCCCGGCUAACUAUGUGCCAGCCGCCGC
RNAcentral lists this ribosomal RNA (496 nucleotides) under uncultured bacterium. RNAcentral's name for it is "bacterial SSU rRNA". It matches the Rfam family "Bacterial small subunit ribosomal RNA", at positions 24 to 518 of the family's 1533-position model. The record is from RNAcentral.